CCUGCGGAAGGAUCAUUAACGAACUCUCGAAGGAUGCGGUUGCUGCUGGGCUUCUCAGAAGUCAACGUGCACACGCUCUUUCCUCUCGUUCGAGCAAUCUACCCCUAUCUGUGCACCCCUCGUAGGCUGAGAUCUCUUAGCCUAUGUUCUUUCCACAAAGCACCCUAAUAUAUCAGCGAAUGGCAGCCGUUCGAGCCUCGUCUCGACGUAGCAAUAUACACAACUUUCAACAACGGAUCUCUUGGCUCUCGCAUCGAUGAAGAACGCAGCGAAAUGCGAUAAGUAAUGUGAAUUGCAGAAUUCAGUGAAUCAUCGAAUCUUUGAACGCACCUUGCGCCCCUUGGUACUCCGAGAGGCAUGCCUGUUUGAGUGUCAUUGAACCAUCAACCCGAGUGGCUUUCGAGCUUUAUCGGAGUUUGGACCUUGCGGCGUGCGGGGAAGGCUCUCCGGGGCCUCUCCGCUCCUCGCGGAAUACAUCAGCAGAUGUCCACUUGCGGGGUCCAGCCUUGGCGUGAUAACUUGUCUACGUCCUGGCUUGGGUCGCGUUUACCCUGGCUCUGCCUCGAACAGUCGCCGUUCUGGCGACGGAGAUGGAUCGACAAAUUUGACCUCAAAUCAGGUAGGAU
RNAcentral lists this ribosomal RNA (626 nucleotides) under Cora sp. RL-2014x. RNAcentral's name for it is "eukaryotic LSU rRNA". The stretch from base 222 to 375 matches the Rfam family "5.8S ribosomal RNA". Lineage: Eukaryota; Fungi; Basidiomycota; Agaricomycetes; Agaricales; Hygrophoraceae. The record is from RNAcentral.